This 442-nucleotide ribosomal RNA is filed under the name uncultured bacterium. RNAcentral describes it as "partial 16S ribosomal RNA". It matches the Rfam family "Bacterial small subunit ribosomal RNA", at positions 338 to 795 of the family's 1533-position model. The record is from RNAcentral.
CCUACGGGGUGCAGCAGUGGGGAAUAUUGGGCAAUGGGCGCAAGCCUGACCCAGCAAUGCCGCGUGAAGGAAGAAGGCUUUCGGGUUGUAAACUUCUUUGACAGGGGAAGAGCAGAAGACGGUACCCUGAAAACAAGCCACGGCUAACUACGUGCCAGCAGCCGCGGUAAUACGUAGGUGGCAAGCGUUGUCCGGAUUUACUGGGUGUAAAGGGCGUGUAGCCGGGAAGGCAAGUCAGAUGUGAAAUCUGGAGGCUCAACCUCCAAAUUGCAUUUGAAACUGUUUUUCUUGAGUACUGGAGAGGUAGACGGAAUUCCUUGUGUAGCGGUGAAAUGCGUAGAUAUAAGGAGGAACACCAGUGGCGAAGGCGGUCUGCUGGACAGCAACUGACGGUGAGGCGCGAAAGCGUGGGGAGCAAACAGGAUUAGAUACCCCAGUAGUC